RNAcentral lists this unclassified non-coding RNA (641 nucleotides) under Hevea brasiliensis (rubber tree). Lineage: Eukaryota; Viridiplantae; Streptophyta; Magnoliopsida; Malpighiales; Euphorbiaceae. The record is from RNAcentral.
GUUUGCUGCUGUGCGAUUGCCAUUUGCAAAGUGGGGAAUCAUUCUUUAAUUACAUGAACAAAUCAAUGCCUCGUACAGUCUUCUUAUAAUGCCAUGAUGAACAGCCACCCAAAGAAAGUCUCUUUCCUACGCACUCACAGCACACACACUUCUCCCCUUUUAACCACAAAAGAAAAGAAAUAGCAAAGAUGAACACUGCAAAAACACAAAUACCCUCCAAAAAUCAAGAUUCCGGCCAAGACCCACCAAAGCUCGUGACUUCCACCGAAGAGAAAACCAAGAACGAAAACGAAGCCAACCCAGAAGAAGACACAAUCAGAGAAUCCAAAAGGAGAAAAAUCUGCCCAACAGCACUGGAGAAAAUCGAACAAGUCUCAUCAUCAAAUCAAAAUUUUUCCUUCACUUUCGACACCAAAUUAAAUGGAACUGCUACCCAAUUCACCCCCAAAUUCGGAUCUUUCAAUCUGGAGAACAUGGCGUCGACCCAAGAGAAGGAAAAUGGGUGUCUCGGGAGCAUUUUAAAGGACCAAGAGAUUGAGUGAUUAAUUUCUAGAAUUUUGCUGUGGAUCUUUCUUCUAUGUAUUGUUUGAUUAGUGGAUGGAAUUAAUCUAAUAUUUAUCUUAUUUAAGCGAUCAAUCAAG